Molecule: ribosomal RNA, 155 nt
Filed under: Stereopsis sp. E7115
Lineage: Eukaryota; Fungi; Basidiomycota; Agaricomycetes; Stereopsidales; Stereopsidaceae
Also listed under: 1 other name
Description: 5.8S ribosomal RNA
Rfam family: 5.8S ribosomal RNA
About the family: 5.8S ribosomal RNA (5.8S rRNA) is a component of the large subunit of the eukaryotic ribosome.
Source: RNAcentral
AACUUUCAGCAACGGAUCUCUUGGCUCUCGCAUCGAUGAAGAACGCAGCGAAAUGCGAUAAGUAAUGUGAAUUGCAGAAUUCAGUGAAUCAUCGAAUCUUUGAACGCACCUUGCACUCCUUGGUAUUCCGAGGAGUAUGCCUGUUUGAGUGUCAU